RNAcentral lists this ribosomal RNA (1770 nucleotides) under Spiroplasma citri. RNAcentral's name for it is "bacterial SSU rRNA". The stretch from base 1 to 1464 matches the Rfam family "Bacterial small subunit ribosomal RNA". Lineage: Bacteria; Bacillati; Mycoplasmatota; Mollicutes; Entomoplasmatales; Spiroplasmataceae. The record is from RNAcentral.
AGUCGACGGGGUGCUUGCACCCAGUGGCGAACGGGUGAGUAACACGUAUCUAAUCUACCCAUUAGCGGGGGAUAACAGUUGGAAACGACUGCUAAUACCGCAUACGACAUUUUCUGGCAUCAGAGAAUGUUAAAAGGUCCGUUUGGACCACUAAUGGAUGAGGGUGCGGCGUAUUAGUUAGUUGGUGGGGUAAUGGCCUACCAAGACAGUGAUACGUAGCCGAACUGAGAGGUUGAACGGCCACAUCGGGACUGAGACACGGCCCGAACUCCUACGGGAGGCAGCAGUAGGGAAUUUUUCACAAUGGGCGAAAGCCUGAUGGAGCAAUGCCGCGUGACUGAAGACGGUCUUCGGAUUGUAAAGGUCUGUUGUAAGGGAAGAAUAGUAAGUAUAGGAAAUGAUACUUAUUUGACGGUACCUUACCAGAAAGCCACGGCUAACUAUGUGCCAGCAGCCGCGGUAAUACAUAGGUGGCAAGCGUUAUCCGGAUUUAUUGGGCGUAAAGCGUGCGCAGACGGUUUAACAAGUUUGGGGUCAAAUCCUGGAGCUUAACUCCAGUUCGCCUUGAAAACUGUUAAACUAGAGUGUAGGAGAGGUCGAUGGAAUUCCAUGUGUAGCGGUGAAAUGCGUAGAUAUAUGGAGGAACACCAGUGGCGAAGGCGGUCGACUGGCCUAUCACUGACGUUUAGGCACGAAAGCGUAGGGAGCAAAUAGGAUUAGAUACCCUAGUAGUCUACGCCGUAAACGAUGAGUACUAAGUGUCGGACUAAGUUCGGUGCUGCAGCUAACGCAUUAAGUACUCCGCCCUGAGUAGUAUGCUCGCAAGAAGUGAAACUCAAAGGAAUUGACGGGGACCCGCACAAGCGGUGGAGCAUGUGGUUUAAUUCGAAGCAACGCGAAGAACCUUACCAAGGCUUGACAUCCCAGUGCAAAGCUGUAGAAAUACAGUGGAGGUUAAACAUUGAGACAGGUGGUGCAUGGUUGUCGUCAGCUCGUGCCGUGAGGUGUUUGGUUAAGUCCAGUAACGAGCGCAACCCUUGCCGUUAGUUACUCCAUUAAGUUGAGAUACUCUAACGGGACUGCUAGUGUAAGCUAGAGGAAGGUGGGGAUGACGUCAAAUCAUCAUGCCCCUUAUGUCUUGGGCUACACACGUGCUACAAUGGCCGGUACAAACAGUUGCGAUCUCGUAAGGGGGAGCUAAUCUGAAAAAGCCGGUCUCAGUUCGGAUUGAGGGCUGCAACUCGCCCUCAUGAAGCCGGAAUCGCUAGUAAUCGCGAAUCAGCAAUGUCGCGGUGAAUACGUUCUCGGGUCUUGUACACACCGCCCGUCACACCAUGAGAGUUGAUAAUACCAGAAGUCGGUAUUCUAACCGUAAGGAGGAAGCCGCCCAAGGUAGGAUUGAUGAUUAGGGUGAAGUCGUAACAAGGUAUCCGUACGAGAACGUGCGGAUGGAUCACCUCCUUUCUAUGGAGUUAUUACUUUAUAGUAAUUUAAUUAGUUUUAAUGACCGUUAUGUUUAGUUUUCAGAGAUUAGUUUCUCUGACAAUAACAAGAAAAUGUUAUUGAAAUUGUUCUUUGAAAACUGGAUAAUAGACAUCUAGUUAUUUUAAUCACACGAUUAAAAUAACAAUAAUUCAAAAUUUCUGUUAUUUUUAAAAAAAUAACUAAAAUUUCACAGUUAUAUUUGUAAAUGAUUCUCAAAACUGAUUUAAAAUCAGGUCAAAUAAUUAAUAAAACUUUGAAGUUACAAAGGGCGUAUGGUGAAGGCCU